RNAcentral lists this ribosomal RNA (467 nucleotides) under uncultured bacterium. RNAcentral describes it as "partial 16S ribosomal RNA". It matches the Rfam family "Bacterial small subunit ribosomal RNA", at positions 29 to 507 of the family's 1533-position model. The record is from RNAcentral.
ACGAACGCUGGCGGCGUGCUUAACACAUGCAAGUCGCACGGAAAGGCCCUGCUUUUGUGGGGUGCUCGAGUGGCGAACGGGUGAGUAACACGUGAGUAACCUGCCCUUGACUUUGGGAUAACUUCAGGAAACUGGGGCUAAUACCGGAUAGGAGCUCCUGCUGCAUGGUGGGGGUUGGAAAGUUUCGGCGGUUGGGGAUGGACUCGCGGCUUAUCAGCUUGUUGGUGGGGUAGUGGCUUACCAAGGCUUUGACGGGUAACCGGCCUGAGAGGGUGACCGGCCACAUUGGGACUGAGAUACGGCCCAGACUCCUACGGGAGGCAGCAGUGGGGAAUAUUGCACAAUGGGCGGAAGCCUGAUGCAGCAACGCCGCGUGCGGGAUGACGGCCUUCGGGUUGUAAACCGCUUUCGCCUGUGACGAAGCGUGAGUGACGGUAAUGGGUAAAGAAGCACCGGCUAACUACGUG